This 280-nucleotide ribosomal RNA is filed under the name uncultured bacterium. RNAcentral describes it as "partial 16S ribosomal RNA". It matches the Rfam family "Archaeal small subunit ribosomal RNA", at positions 456 to 735 of the family's 1478-position model. The record is from RNAcentral.
UGCCAGCCGCCGCGGUAACACUCGCGGUCCAAGUCGCAGCCAUUUUUAUUGGGUCUAAAACAUCCGUAGCUUGCUUGAUAAGUUCCUUGUGAAAUUCCAUGUCUCAAAUAUGGAGCGCGCAAGGAGUACUGUCAAGCUAGAGACUGGAAGACGUGAGGAGUACGUUCGAAGUAUCGGUAAAAUGAGUUAAUCUCGAACGGACUAACAAUAGCGAAGGCACCUCACGAGUACAGUUCUGACAGUAAGGGAUGAAAGCUAGGGGCGCAAAACGGAUUAGAUA